Carassius auratus (goldfish) is the source of this 881-nucleotide long non-coding RNA. RefSeq lists it as uncharacterized. NCBI's taxonomy places the organism in Eukaryota, Metazoa, Chordata, Actinopteri, Cypriniformes, Cyprinidae. The transcript has 3 exons. The record is from RefSeq and is a predicted model, not a curated record.
GCUAUCACAUGACAAUCGCCUUGGGAGGAGGGGGGCUGGGAGAAAGGCAUAAUCUGGUUUCAUUUACACCUAUUUACAUGGACACCUUGGGCCAAUAGAAAUCAUUUCCAUUUGAAGACAGUGCAAAGGGGUGAAAAGGCUCGGCAACCGGAAUUGAACUGCGAUGGCACCCGGUUACAGUGUGUGAAGGGCUCACCAAGGGCCACCUUUCCGCUUGGCGAGUUUACAAUGCGAUUGACCACACACGAGCUCGCGGAUUUGCUCAUAAUUUAUGCAAAUUUUCCACCAUAAAUCCACCAACGAGACCCAUGUCUGCUCUGAGAGAUUGCGAAUAGAAUCAUUGCAAUAACGCAUUGUUUAUUUUGAUGCCUGUUUGGAAGAUGCAUGAGGAAAAGAAAAGGGCCAAUGGAUUUCACUUUUCCAUGCUUCUUUCACUUGAAGUUUUCCAGAGUUCUUCCGAGGGAAGCAGCGUCGAUGUGAAAAAGCAAGUAUUCUUCAAUGAAUCUGUCCCUGAAUUCUGACAGUGCGACACGAAGGAUCCGACACCUUCAGUGAGAGAGAGGGAGAGAUGGUGUUUGCGUGUGUCUAUAGCGCUCAAAAAAAAAAAAAAAAAACAUUUAUUUCUCUGCCCAAAUGUUUACCCAGACAAUAAACAAUAGAAAAACAACUACGUGACUUGUCCUAGUGUUCGAGGAAAGAAAGGAUGCACUUGAAAAUAACUAAUGCAGGGAAAAAUAGCGUUUUAAAAUACAUCUGAAUAAAAUAAAUGCACAACGUUUGUAGCUGAGGCGAGAUUGUCUCAAACUUUUAAUAUAAAUUGUAAUAGUUUAGAAAUCUACAACAUACUGAUAAAAAUAGGUCCACUGUUGUUAAAACCGAGA